This 495-nucleotide ribosomal RNA is filed under the name uncultured bacterium. RNAcentral describes it as "partial 16S ribosomal RNA". It matches the Rfam family "Bacterial small subunit ribosomal RNA", at positions 28 to 507 of the family's 1533-position model. The record is from RNAcentral.
GACGAACGCUGGCGGCGUGCCUAAUACAUGCAAGUAGAACGCUGAAGGAGGAGCUUGCUCUUCUGGAUGAGUUGCGAACGGGUGAGUAACGCGUAGGUAACCUGCCUGGUAGCGGGGGAUAACUAUUGGAAACGAUAGCUAAUACCGCAUAACAGUAGAUGUUGCAUGACAUUUACUUAAAAGGUGCAAUUGCAUCACUACCAGAUGGACCUGCGUUGUAUUAGCUAGUUGGUGGGGUAACGGCUCACCAAGGCGACGAUACAUAGCCGACCUGAGAAGGUGAUCGGCCACACUGGGACUGAGACACGGCCCAGACUCCUACGGGAGGCAGCAGUAGGGAAUCUUCGGCAAUGGACGGAAGUCUGACCGAGCAACGCCGCGUGAGUGAAGAAGGUUUUCGGAUCGUAAAGCUCGGUUGUAAGAGAAGAACGAGGGUGAGAGUGGAAAGUUCACAAUGUGACGGUAUCUUACCAGAAAGGGACGGCUAACUACGUG